UUCCAUCGCUAAGUCAAGGCCUCUUCCUGCGACUUCGGUCGUGCACGACUUCGGUUGUGCUUGUUUCAAUGGAAUUCCGUCUGUUACAGCUUUGGUAUAUUAACACUGGCCCGCACCGAAUUUCGUUAUGAACCUAGGUUGACUUGCUUUCGUCUUGAAAGCCUGUCGCAAAGGGCCAGCUGUGUUUUGUUUUUGAGUAGAAGUCUGCUUCUGCCUUUUUUGGUGGCAUUGUAGCAGUCUUCUUAGUAACAUCCCACACAUUC
Penicillium freii is the source of this 263-nucleotide small nucleolar RNA. It matches the Rfam family "Small nucleolar RNA snR191". NCBI's taxonomy places the organism in Eukaryota, Fungi, Ascomycota, Eurotiomycetes, Eurotiales, Aspergillaceae. The record is from Rfam.